UACGGGGGGGGCAAGCGUUGUUCGGAAUUACUGGGCGUAAAGGGCUCGUAGGCGGCCAACUAAGUCAGACGUGAAAUCCCUCGGCUUAACCGGGGAACUGCGUCUGAUACUGGAUGGCUUGAGUUUGGGAGAGGGAUGCGGAAUUCCAGGUGUAGCGGUGAAAUGCGUAGAUAUCUGGAGGAACACCUGUGGCGAAAGCGGCUCACUGGACCAUAACUGACGCUGAUGCACGAAAGCUGGGGGAGCAAACAGG
RNAcentral lists this ribosomal RNA (253 nucleotides) under uncultured bacterium. RNAcentral's name for it is "partial 16S ribosomal RNA". It matches the Rfam family "Bacterial small subunit ribosomal RNA", at positions 524 to 776 of the family's 1533-position model. The record is from RNAcentral.